This 65-nucleotide transfer RNA is filed under the name Coleonyx mitratus. RNAcentral describes it as "tRNA-Tyr". Lineage: Eukaryota; Metazoa; Chordata; Lepidosauria; Squamata; Eublepharidae. The record is from RNAcentral.
GGUAAGAUGGCCGAGGUAGGUGGCGGGUUGUAGCCCCGUUUACAGGACAUAUGUCCUUCUUAUCA